GGCGAACGCUGGCGGCGUGCUUAACACAUGCAAGUCGAACGGAAAGGCCCUGCUUUUGUGGGGUGCUCGAGUGGCGAACCGGUGAGUAACACGUGAGUAACCUGCCCUUGACUUUGGGAUAACUUCAGGAAACUGGGGCUAAUACCGGAUAGGAGCUCCUGCUGCAUGGUGGGGGUUGGAAAGUUUCGGCGGUUGGGGAUGGACUCGCGGCUUAUCAGCUUGUUGGUGGGGUAGUGGCUUACCAAGGCUUUGACGGGUAGCCGGCCUGAGAGGGUGACCGGCCACAUUGGGACUGAGAUACGGCCCAGACUCCUACGGGAGGCAGCAGUGGGGAAUAUUGCACAAUGGGCGGAAGCCUGAUGCAGCAACGCCGCGUGCGGGAUGACGGCCUUCGGGUUGUAAACCGCUUUCGCCUGUGACGAAGCGUGAGUGACGGUAAUGGGUAAAGAAGCACCGGCUAACUACGUG
RNAcentral lists this ribosomal RNA (468 nucleotides) under uncultured bacterium. RNAcentral describes it as "partial 16S ribosomal RNA". It matches the Rfam family "Bacterial small subunit ribosomal RNA", at positions 28 to 507 of the family's 1533-position model. The record is from RNAcentral.